This is an RNA transcript of Hippocampus zosterae (dwarf seahorse), 1890 nucleotides long. It is a transcript of the gene named serine and arginine rich splicing factor 1a, with no coding region annotated. The record is from RefSeq and is a predicted model, not a curated record. The transcript is spliced from 5 exons. Lineage: Eukaryota; Metazoa; Chordata; Actinopteri; Syngnathiformes; Syngnathidae.
CCGUGCCACGCCGGAAGUUCGGUGAGUGGCGGAGGGAGGGAGGCCGAGCCGAGUCCGCAACUUGUGAAUAACCGCAAACAAAACAACGAUAAGCCGCGUGAUUAACCCUUCCACUGCUUGCCGGGACGUGAGCGCUCGGGACUACAAGGCCAGUGUUUUUUUUCACUUUUUAUUUUUAUUUUUUAAACUAAACCCGUCUAGCAGGAGAGAACGAGCCCCAUCUACAAAUAAUGUCUGGCGUCGUGCGAGGGCCGGCGGGGAAUAACGAUUGCCGAAUUUACGUGGGCAACCUCCCGCCCGAUAUCCGCACCAAAGACGUGGAGGAAGUCUUCUACAAGUACGGCAACAUUCGAGACAUCGACCUAAAAAACCGCAGAGGAGGACCGCCGUUCGCCUUUAUUGAGUUCGAAGACCCAAGGGAUGCUGGGGAUGCCGUUUACGGCCGGGAUGGAUACGACUACGAUGGCUACCGGCUGCGCGUUGAGUUCCCCCGGAGCGGGAGGGGCUCCAGAGGCAGCAGUUUGGGCGGUAGCGGAGGCGCAGCCCCGAGAGGCCGGUAUGGGCCCCCAUCCAGACGCUCCGAGUAUCGGGUGGUUGUGUCCGGACUCCCUCAGAGCGGCAGCUGGCAGGACCUGAAGGACCACAUGCGCGAGGCCGGCGACGUGUGCUAUGCCGACGUGUACCGAGACGGGACCGGUGUUGUAGAGUUUGUGCGCAAGGAAGACAUGACCUAUGCCGUCCGAAAGCUGGACAACUCCAAAUUCCGUUCGCACGAGGGAGAGACGGCAUACGUUCGCGUGAAAUUAGACGGUCCCCGCAGCCCGAGUUACGGACGAUCCCGCUCCCGCAGCCGCGGCAGCCAGAGCAGGAGCCGCAGUCGCACCCCCAGCCGCAGCAGGAGCCGGAGCCGCAGCAACUCCAGAGGACGCGGACGGGCGUCGCCACGCUACUCGCCGCGACACAGCUGCUCUCGAUCACGAUCGCGCUCCUAGAAAACCUGGUGGCGUUCAUCCCUUUUCGCCCUCCCUUUCUCCCGCCCUGUGAUGUAACUAGGGUUGCAAAGGGGCGGGGAAUUCUGUCACAUUUCUCAGAUGUUUCUGACAUCUGAAGAGAAGGAUUAAAGUGAUUUGGAAUAAAAACCGAUUGUGGUGGAGCACAUUUCAUUUGUAUGGUCAGGAUAGGACAUCAAAUGGAGGCCAUGGUAUGCUUCACAUUCUGUCAAUUCUUGUCAUUUCUUUAUUCUUGUCAUGCAUGUCAUAGAAUUGAAACACACCUCUUUGGCCUGUGACAGACAAAAAGUGUUGUGAUGUAUGUGUAACAUCUUUGCUGUCAUGUGUAAAUGAAAAAUCCGACUUGUGUGAGGGAAUUAUUUUCUACCUGCUCUUGCAUUUUAAAAAAGUUAAUUUUUUUUGCCCCCAAUUUUUUUGUACAUUGUGUUCUAAUGGUCUGCCUCUGAUUUUCUUCCUGGUAUUUCAAGGUUUUGAUUGGAGAGGAGUGGCUCAGUGGAUCGCAAUCCUUUGGAGCUGGAUCGAUUUUUAGGAAAGGGAUAAUAGGCAAGGAUGGAUGAUCGGGAACGGGAUCAGUAUUCCAGGAUUUCCCAGCAAAAUUUUCAGAACUAAUUAAUAGGGGACCUCCCGGAGCAACUUUAAAAACAUUUUUGUUUGUUUGUUUUUUAAUAGCCUGCCAUCUGCCUAUCUUUUAUGAAGUCUUUCAGUGAUAAUGACGAGAAAAACAGAGGACCAGGAAGUUGGAUCAAAGGAUGGAAUCGUAGAUGCCUGGUAUGCGGGGAAAAUUUGGGGAGGGUUUCAUAUGGGGUACUAGUUUGAGUGUUGAUUUCUUUGCUUAAUCCUUUUUUCUUCUAGCAUUUUCAAUAAAACAUCUUCAAGAAGA